GAUGAACGCUAGCUACAGGCUUAACACAUGCAAGUCGAGGGGAAACGAUGUUGGAAGCUUGCUUCCGAUAGGCGUCGACCGGCGCACGGGUGAGUAACGCGUAUCCAACCUGCCCAUCACUUGGGAAUAACCUUGCGAAAGUAAGACUAAUGCCCAAUGACAUUUAUAGAAGGCAUCUGAAAUGAAUUAAAGAUUUAUCGGUGAUGGAUGGGGAUGCGUCUGAUUAGCUUGUUGGCGGGGUAACGGCCCACCAAGGCGACGAUCAGUAGGGGUUCUGAGAGGAAGGUCCCCCACAUUGGAACUGAGACACGGUCCAAACUCCUACGGGAGGCAGCAGUGAGGAAUAUUGGUCAAUGGACGGGAGUCUGAACCAGCCAAGUAGCGUGCAGGACGACGGCCCUAUGGGUUGUAAACUGCUUUUAUAGGGGGAUAAAGUGUGCCACGUGUGGCAUAUUGCAGGUACCCUAUGAAUAAGGACCGGCUAAUUCCGUGCCAGCAGCCGACGG
RNAcentral lists this ribosomal RNA (506 nucleotides) under uncultured bacterium. RNAcentral describes it as "bacterial SSU rRNA". It matches the Rfam family "Bacterial small subunit ribosomal RNA", at positions 28 to 520 of the family's 1533-position model. The record is from RNAcentral.